CCUACGGGUGGCAGCAGUAGGGAAUUUUCGGCAAUGGGCGAAAGCCUGACCGAGCAACGCCGCGUGAACGAAGAAGGUCUUCGGAUUGUAAAGUUCUGUUAUAGAGGAAGAAUGGUGUACGAAGGAAAUGGCGUACAAAUGACGGUACUCUGUGAGGAAGCCACGGCUAACUACGUGCCAGCAGCCGCGGUAAUACGUAGGUGGCAAGCGUUAUCCGGAAUUACUGGGUGUAAAGGGAGCGUAGACGGUGAUGUAAGUCUGGAGUGAAAGGCGGGGGCCCAACCCCCGGACUGCUCUGGAAACUAUGUGACUGGAGUGCAGGAGAGGUGAGCGGAAUUCCUAGUGUAGCGGUGAAAUGCGUAGAUAUUAGGAGGAACAUCAGGGGCGAAGGCGACUUACUGGACUGUAACUGACACUGAGGCACGAAAGCGUGGGGAGCAAACAGGAUUAGAUACCCUGGUAGUC
Molecule: ribosomal RNA, 465 nt
Filed under: uncultured bacterium
Lineage: Bacteria
Description: partial 16S ribosomal RNA
Rfam family: Bacterial small subunit ribosomal RNA
Source: RNAcentral